Molecule: ribosomal RNA, 483 nt
Filed under: Escherichia sp. S69_ASV_4
Lineage: Bacteria; Pseudomonadati; Pseudomonadota; Gammaproteobacteria; Enterobacterales; Enterobacteriaceae
Description: partial 23S ribosomal RNA
Rfam family: Bacterial large subunit ribosomal RNA
Source: RNAcentral
ACCGGGAGAUAGCUGGUUCUCCCCGAAAGCUAUUUAGGUAGCGCCUCGUGAAUUCAUCUCCGGGGGUAGAGCACUGUUUCGGCAAGGGGGUCAUCCCGACUUACCAACCCGAUGCAAACUGCGAAUACCGGAGAAUGUUAUCACGGGAGACACACGGCGGGUGCUAACGUCCGUCGUGAAGAGGGAAACAACCCAGACCGCCAGCUAAGGUCCCAAAGUCAUGGUUAAGUGGGAAACGAUGUGGGAAGGCCCAGACAGCCAGGAUGUUGGCUUAGAAGCAGCCAUCAUUUAAAGAAAGCGUAAUAGCUCACUGGUCGAGUCGGCCUGCGCGGAAGAUGUAACGGGGCUAAACCAUGCACCGAAGCUGCGGCAGCGACGCUUAUGCGUUGUUGGGUAGGGGAGCGUUCUGUAAGCCUGCGAAGGUGUGCUGUGAGGCAUGCUGGAGGUAUCAGAAGUGCGAAUGCUGACAUAAGUAACGAUAAA